CUACGGGAGGCAGCAGUAGGGAAUCUUGCGCAAUGGGGGAAACCCUGACGCAGCAACGCCGCGUGCGGGAUGACGGCCCUAGGGUUGUAAACCGCUUUCAGCAGGGACGAGACCAGACGGUACCUGCAGAAGAAGCCCCGGCCAACUACGUGCCAGCAGCCGCGGUAACACGUAGGGGGCGAGCGUUGUCCGGAUUCAUUGGGCGUAAAGAGCUCGUAGGCGGUCCAGUAAGUUGGGUGUGAAAGCUCCGGGCUCAACCCGGAGAGGUCACCCAAAACUGCUGUGACUAGAGUCCAGUAGAGGAGCGUGGAAUUCCUGGUGUAGCGGUGAAAUGCGCAGAUAUCAGGAGGAACACCAGCAGCGAAGGCGGCGCUCUGGGCUGGAACUGACGCUGAGGAGCGAAAGCGUGGGUAGCAAACAGGAUUAGAUACCCUGGUAGUCC
Molecule: ribosomal RNA, 442 nt
Filed under: uncultured bacterium
Lineage: Bacteria
Description: bacterial SSU rRNA
Rfam family: Bacterial small subunit ribosomal RNA
Source: RNAcentral